RNAcentral lists this ribosomal RNA (253 nucleotides) under uncultured bacterium. RNAcentral's name for it is "partial 16S ribosomal RNA". It matches the Rfam family "Bacterial small subunit ribosomal RNA", at positions 524 to 776 of the family's 1533-position model. The record is from RNAcentral.
GACGUAGGGCGCGAGCGUUGUCCGGAUUUAUUGGGCGUAAAGAGCUCGUAGGCGGUCUGUCGCGUCGGAUGUGAAAACUCGGGGCUCAACCCCGAGCCUGCAUUCGAUACGGGCAGACUAGAGUUCGGUAGGGGAGACUGGAAUUCCUGGUGUAGCGGUGAAAUGCGCAGAUAUCAGGAGGAACACCGGUGGCGAAGGCGGGUCUCUGGGCCGAUACUGACGCUGAGGAGCGAAAGCGUGGGGAGCGAACAGG